This 429-nucleotide ribosomal RNA is filed under the name Chloroflexota bacterium. Its description in RNAcentral is "Chloroflexi bacterium partial 16S ribosomal RNA". It matches the Rfam family "Bacterial small subunit ribosomal RNA", at positions 355 to 776 of the family's 1533-position model. The record is from RNAcentral. Lineage: Bacteria; Bacillati; Chloroflexota.
UGGGGAAUAUUGCACAAUGGGCGCAAGCCUGAUGCAGCCAUGCCGCGUGUAUGAAGAAGGCCUUCGGGUUGUAAAGUACUUUCAGUCGGGAGGAAGGUGGUAAGGUUAAUAACCUUAUCAAUUGACGUUACCGACAGAAGAAGCACCGGCUAACUCCGUGCCAGCAGCCGCGGUAAUACGGAGGGUGCAAGCGUUAAUCGGAAUUACUGGGCGUAAAGCGCACGCAGGCGGUUGAUUGAGUCAGAUGUGAAAUCCCCGGGCUUAACCCGGGAGUUGCAUCUGAUACUGGUCAGCUAGAGUCUUGUAGAGGGGAGUAGAAUUCCAUGUGUAGCGGUGAAAUGCGUAGAGAUGUGGAGGAAUACCGGUGGCGAAGGCGGCCCCCUGGACAAAGACUGACGCUCAGGUGCGAAAGCGUGGGGAGCAAACAGG